CUACGGGGCGCACCAGUGAGGAAUAUUGCACAAUGGGGGAAACCCUGAUGCAGCAACGCCGCGUGGAGGAUGACGCAUUUCGGUGUGUAAACUCCUUUUAUCAGAGAAGAAAAUGACGGUAUCUGAUGAAUAAGCUCCGGCUAACUCCGUGCCAGCAGCCGCGGUAAUACGGAGGGAGCAAGCGUUAUUCGGAAUCACUGGGCGUAAAGGACGCGUAGGCGGGUUUUUAAGUCAGGUGUGAAAUCCUAUGGCUCAACCAUAGAACUGCACUUGAAACUGGGGAACUAGAGUAUGGAAGGGGCAGGUGGAAUUAGUGGUGUAGGGGUAAAAUCCGUAGAUAUCACUAGGAAUACCGAAAGCGAAGGCGACCUGCUGGGACAUUACUGACGCUGAGGCGUGAAAGCGUGGGGAGCAAACAGGAUUAGAUACCCCAGUAGUC
This 439-nucleotide ribosomal RNA is filed under the name uncultured bacterium. Its description in RNAcentral is "partial 16S ribosomal RNA". It matches the Rfam family "Bacterial small subunit ribosomal RNA", at positions 339 to 795 of the family's 1533-position model. The record is from RNAcentral.